UUUAAUAUGGUUUCUGUAGGAGGACAAACAUGACAUAAACCUCCCUAAUUGUUAUAAAGCACACUGUUUAUAUUAAACAUGCUUCACUGAUUCGAGUAUUUGGCGAGCGCCGUUUUGUCCUACUAAUUUUGGCGGUCCUUGAACUCACCUUAGUUUGUGUCCAUGUAUAACUUUCUCCGACUUUCUAGGACGUGUUUUAUGCCACUUCUUUUUCUGUCUCAUUUUGUCCACCACCCUUUUAACGUGUGUGAAGGCACAAAGUUUGUUUUGGAGGAGACAUUAAGUGGAAGUCACCUCAUGCAGAACAACGCUCUCGACAACAGUCCUUCAGAUGUUCACGAACUGACGUGGCAAGGUCGGUGCUUCAAGACCGCCCCCCAAAAUUCCUUCCCCGUCUUUAACGGACACACACCUGUUGGUUGCGGACUUUUGUUGGCUGUGUUAUUGCUAUAACACUCUGCGAGCACCAAGGUCGAGGAACAAAGGCGACUCUUCAGGCUUACACACACAAGCCAAAUACAGCCACGGAAAAUAGACGCUACACUCACAAGGGCCCCGACCACUGCAUCCCAAACCUUUGUUGCUUCACCGUCCAAAGGUAUGAUGGACAACAAAGCAGUGCCCCUGUUGACAGCAGCUUCGGGCCGAAUGCAUGCCCCUUUCCCCCCCUCGUUGCAAGUACUGAGUUGUGUGUCGUAAUACGUGUAUAUGUGCUAUGCUCCAGGGUUCAUACUGUAUACUUAAAAUGCUGUUUUGCAAGGCUAAAAACUGAAUUCUCUCCUAUUCUAUUUUUGACUGUACUUGAAUGUAUAUUAGACCUUAUUUAUAUUAUUCUGCACCUGAAGGCUAAAUACUGACUGGAUAAACUCUAUCCUAUUCCAUUUUGACUAUACUUGAAUCAGAGGGUACAAUGCAUAUAUUAAACUACAAAAUAGUCAUUACUUAUAUAAUUCAUACUUAAAAUGCUGUUUUGCAUGGCUAAAAACUGAAUCCUCUCCUAUUCCAUUUUGACUGUACUUGAAUGUAUAUUAGACCGUAUUUAUAUUAUUAA
This is a long non-coding RNA of Entelurus aequoreus (snake pipefish), 1051 nucleotides long. RefSeq lists it as uncharacterized. The transcript has 3 exons. The record is from RefSeq and is a predicted model, not a curated record. Lineage: Eukaryota; Metazoa; Chordata; Actinopteri; Syngnathiformes; Syngnathidae.